GCUUUAGGGCCUCUGAUCUUGACACCAUCCUACCUCAGAGACUAAGCAGCUAAGCAAGAUUGGGCCUGGUCAGUACUUGAAUGGGAGACAGUCAAACCCAAGUUCCCAGGAAAGUU
RNAcentral lists this ribosomal RNA (116 nucleotides) under Sphenodon punctatus (tuatara). The record is from RNAcentral. Lineage: Eukaryota; Metazoa; Chordata; Lepidosauria; Sphenodontia; Sphenodontidae.